RNAcentral lists this ribosomal RNA (305 nucleotides) under uncultured bacterium. RNAcentral's name for it is "bacterial SSU rRNA". It matches the Rfam family "Bacterial small subunit ribosomal RNA", at positions 334 to 637 of the family's 1533-position model. The record is from RNAcentral.
GUCACCUACGGGGCGCAGCAGUGAGGAAUAUUGGUCAAUGGGCGGGAGCCUGAACCAGCCAUGCCGCGUGAAGGCGAGUGCCCUACGGGCGUUAAACUUCUUUUGUGCGGGAGCAAUAAGGGCCACGCGUGGCCCGAUGAGAGUACCGCACGAAUAAGCAUCGGCUAACUCCGUGCCAGCAGCCGCGGUAAUACGUAGGUGGCAAGCGUUGUCCGGAUUUACUGGGUGUAAAGGGCGUGCAGCCGGAGAGACAAGUCAGAUGUGAAAUCCACGGGCUCAACCCGUGAACUGCAUUUGAAACUGUU